This 503-nucleotide ribosomal RNA is filed under the name uncultured bacterium. RNAcentral describes it as "partial 16S ribosomal RNA". It matches the Rfam family "Bacterial small subunit ribosomal RNA", at positions 30 to 523 of the family's 1533-position model. The record is from RNAcentral.
AUUGAACGCUGGCGGCAGGCUUAACACAUGCAAGUCGAGCGGGGUGAUGGUGCUUGCACUAUCACUUAGCGGCGGACGGGUGAGUAAUGCUUAGGAAUCUGCCUAUUAGUGGGGGACAACAUCUCGAAAGGGAUGCUAAUACCGCAUACGUUCUACGGGAGAAAGCAGGGGAUCACUUGUGACCUUGCGCUAAUAGAUGAGCCUAAGUCGGAUUAGCUAGUUGGUGGGGUAAAGGCCUACCAAGGCGACGAUCUGUAGCGGGUGUGAGGGGAUGAUCCGCCGCACUGGGACUGAGACACGGCCCAGACUCCUACGGGAGGCAGCAGUGGGGAAUAUUGGACAAUGGGGGGAACCCUGAUCCAGCCAUGCCGCGUGUGUGAAGAAGGCCUUAUGGUUGUAAAGCACUUUAAGCGAGGAGGAGGCUCUUUUGGUUAAUACCCAAGAUGAGUGGACGUUACUCGCAGAAUAAGCACCGGCUAACUCUGUGCCAGCCGCCGCAGUAA